Lycium ferocissimum is the source of this 809-nucleotide long non-coding RNA. RefSeq lists it as uncharacterized. The transcript has 2 exons. Lineage: Eukaryota; Viridiplantae; Streptophyta; Magnoliopsida; Solanales; Solanaceae. The record is from RefSeq and is a predicted model, not a curated record.
GUAGGAACUAAAACGAGGGACACCAGUGCCUCAAGAUGAGGCGUUCAAGAUCACUCACGUGAAGAAGAAGGCAAACACUAAUGAUAAAGACGAUUGGUGUGAGGAACGGGCUGAGCGGACCUACAAUCAAUAUCAAAAUUCAAAGGCAGAGUUUCUUCGUACUCAGCCACCCAAUACACAGCUGACAGAAAAACAAAUAGAGGAAAGGUGGCUUGGGAGUGUUGGUGGUCCCACUAGGUUUGGCACAACUUACGGAAUGCCACAUCGUGCAUUUCGUCAAUACCGGUCGCCCCUGGAAGGCCUACAUUCUUCCAAUACCGAGUCGUUCGAUAGAGUGAGUGCUAUGGCUAUGGAGCAAAAGAUUGCUGAGCUAUCUAGCCGCCAUGUGCCUCGAGGAAAGGGAGAGGCGGAGGGAUGUGCAGUUUGACGGUAUGAGGGCCCAAUUAGACGCAUUACUUGCUUCGAGGGGGAUUCCCUCGUGUCCUGAUGAUGCUCGUAACCCCCAUACUCAAUCUAAUGGUGCGGAUGAUGAUAGGACUCACGUGUCAAACACACAAAGGCAUGUUUGAAUGUUAAUGUUGUGGUGGAUUUGUGGAUUGUGUAAGUGUUUUGUGGAUGUUUGCGAGGGGUGAAGUAGUCUAAUGUUGUAAACUAACUUAGUGUAGACUAGUUUAAUGUUUUGUGAAUGUUUGCAAAGGUUGAAGUAGUUUAAUGUUGUGUUGAUGUUUGCGAAGGUUGAAGUAGCCUAAUGUCUCUUGUGAAUGUUUGAAUGACGUUUUGAUUCAACUUUGAAGUAGUUUCGAAUUGAA